RNAcentral lists this long non-coding RNA (1018 nucleotides) under Gadus morhua (Atlantic cod). RNAcentral describes it as "lncRNA (ENSGMOG00000028728.1)". The record is from RNAcentral. Lineage: Eukaryota; Metazoa; Chordata; Actinopteri; Gadiformes; Gadidae.
UUUUAAUGUUGUUCAGCAAAACCUACAUGGAUUAAGACUUGUACUAAAUAUUGACAAAAGCAAAAUGAUCUGCUUUACAAGAAGUAAUAAAACAUCCGAUAUGGAUGACAACCAGAUUGUUACUCUAAACAACAAAGUGAUAGAGCGAGUCGCAACCUACAAAUACCUGGGCUUUUUUCUAGAAGAAAAUCUCUCUUUCAAACAUCACAUUGAGUGUCUUACUAAAAAGCUAAGAAUUAAACUGGGUUUCUUGUAUAAAAAUAAAUGUUGUUUUUCUUUUGGUGCCAGGAAGAAAAUUGUCCAAGCCGUUCUUUUAUCCGUUAUUGACUAUGGUGAUAUUUUAUGUAUGCAUGCAAAUUCAUCAUCUCUGAAAAUGCUAGAUUCUGUGUACCAUGCAGCAUUACGGUUUGUCUCAAACUCUGGCUUCCGAACACACCAUUGUAAAUUGUAUGAGAAAGUUGGUCUGUCUUCCUUAUACACCCGUAGGAUGGAACACUGGUAUAUGUUUCUUUAUAAGGCAAUUUUGCACGAUCUGCCUCCGUAUUUGUGUUCUCUAAUGGUUCCUAAAACAAACAGUGCUCGUAUCACUCGGUCUAGCAGUUGGAUUAUGUAUAACGUUCCUCGGACUCGCACUACGUUUGGUGAAAGUGCUUUUAAAUCUUUUGCCCCGUCAUCAUGGUGUAAGCUACAGGAACACCUUAAACUGGAAUCCCUAAUCACCCUGAACAAUUACAAAAGCAGGAUCAAGGACAAUUUAACCACAAACUGAACACUGACUUACUGCCAAUUAGAUUGAUGCUUUGUGACUUUUUAUUGUGUUUUGUGUCUUGUUUUUAGUGUGAAAUUUUGUGUUUUUAAUGUGAAACUUGAAAUGUUUGUAUGCUGCCUUAUUGGCCAGGACUCUCUUGAAAAAGAGAUUUUGAAUCUCAAUGAGAAUAUUCCUGGAAAAAUAAAGGUUAAUAAAAUAAAAAAAUUUUACCUUUUAUCAACCUUGAUAACAUAUAGCAAUCAUUAACUG